RNAcentral lists this long non-coding RNA (34217 nucleotides) under Citrus sinensis (sweet orange). RNAcentral describes it as "long non-coding RNA (CSIN_LNC002776)". The record is from RNAcentral. Lineage: Eukaryota; Viridiplantae; Streptophyta; Magnoliopsida; Sapindales; Rutaceae.
GAAAACAGAAGUUGUUGGUAACAGAAGUAGCAGUGGCGUAAAGAGAAGAGAUCCGACAAUAUGUUGCUUCACAGUGUACUCAUAGCUAUCUAGUCUUUGUCGAAGAGGAUUACACUUACGACCCCUGCCAAAAUAAUUCAGCAACUGUAUGAAGAACUUGAAGCAAAGAAACAUCAAAAUCACAGAGACAACUAAAUCUCAAGACAUUUUCCUGUUUUCUACCAAAAAAAAAAAAAAUAUCAAGCACCCAUUAAUUAUGUAAAAGAAGGGCCUAGUCAUACGAGUAGGUUUCAUUUGUAAUUGCAACCUAUAAUGCAGUAAAGUUGAAAUAUGCCCGUCCCACAAAAACAAACAGUCACCAGCCAACCUCUUUCAGAAAUAAUACUACUUCAAAGUACAUAAUAACAAUUUAUGUGAUCAAUAGAUAUGAAGCACUCAUUAGAUCAUGUAAAAAGAAGGGCCUAGUCUUAAUAGUAGGUUUCAUCUGUAAUUGCAACUUGCAAGUGAGAAUCUUAAUGAUUUUAAUCAGAAAAAGUUUUAGUUCAGGCUAACCUGAACAAGCGCCACAAAGCUGCUAAUGCCUGUAUCUGCUGAGAGUACAAAAGUGAUAUCAUCCAAUGGAGGGUUGAAACAUGCAACGUCACUACCACAAUCAUGUCUCUAACCAAGGCAGCAGGUACAGUCAUCCCAAAAAGAAUUCCUAAUAUAGCAAGUCCUUUCACCAAAUAAACCAAGAGGGAAUCAACAAAGAACCAGAGUGUAGACCAUAUUUGGAUGGCAUUAAGGGAAAUCAUGCCAAGAACUCCAGCCAACUCGGUAUUCAACUUGAAACCUGCUGGCACUCCCAUCAACCAUACACAACCUGUACGCAACAGCUCAUUUGUAGUAUCAUUGGCAAAGUCCGAAACCCAUAAGCAGACUGAUUCCGCAUUAAACAACAGUGAGAAACCAAUCAAGUUUCCCAAAAGCAAAUCGACAGCUAAGCUUGACCACAUGGAGUGCUUAUGUAAUGCAGCUUUCUCAGCAUAUUCAACACAUGACUGAGACCUUACAAAAAAUAAAAAAUAAAAUAAAAUAAAUUAUGCUACAAGAAAUAAAAGGGCCUGUUCCAGAAAAUGAAGACAACAAUAGAUCAAAUGUAAUACACUUAAGAUCAUGGUAUCCAGUCCAUCUAGGUUGGACCAAAUAGGCUAACAAUUCAACUGGUUAACCAUGAGCUUUCCGAAUAAGAAAAACAGAGAAAUAAAUUUUAUUUUUUUCUUUUUCUUGGUAGGAAUUACAAGCUCCUUUUGUAAAUGAGAGAAUAGAGAAAUAAACAACAUUUUAAAUGAUUCUAAAUUAAAUAAUCAAAGUAUAUAAUUUCAUUUUCUACCACAAAGGAAAACCUCAUAAAUAAAAAAACUCCAAUAUAUGUUACCGAGAGCCUCUUGUCACCUGGAGUCAUUGUCCUGAAGAAGGAUAGGCCAAAACAAGAUCUGACCACAACGAAUUUGGAUAUUUAUCCAAGCAGUGUUGAAUAAACUUUUUGAUGUAGUGUAUAUCCACGAUUGUGAUCCAAAACCCAGAAGGCUAUGAAGAAACUGAAGAAAAAUAUAGAAUAUAGUGGACAACGAAGCCAUAGACACAGCCAAUAACUGCCACACCAGAGCAAUAAGCCUAAAAACAACACAUGCCAUUAGAAAGUGCACAGGAAACUAGGAUAGUGUAAUCACCAAAGACUAGAGAAAUACAUGCAAAUAAUAGAAAACUUAGUGAAAGGCCUGCUGGAGCCAACAUGUCUCUCAAAGACCAUUUUGGAAGCAGUGGCACUAUUCAUUGCUAGAAUCACUGCAUCCUGAAUUGAGGAAGACAAAAAUACAAAUUUUCAGUCACUAAAGAAUUUUUGAAACAUGGUAUAUAGCACAAAGGGCAAUCUUGCAAACUACUUUACCAAGUCAUUGAGAGGUUGCUUCUGGUGAAGUUCAUCAAUCCACUUGGGUUCCUUGAGAGGAAUUUUCACCUUUUUGAAAGAAUUCCAACAACUCAAGGAGAAAUGGCGUGCACCAUAUGUGGGAGUUUCAUAAAGUAUCACCUAAAAUUUUCAAACAGAAAGGAGAUUUACCACAACUGAAAAAAACAACUUAAACAUAUAUCAAGCAGUAAAGUAAUCAUGACUUAUCUUUAAAAAUUGAAAAAAAAAAAGGGUAAUCAUGACUUACAUACGUGGACAUCGCACUGAGACACCAAUCGCCCGUUCCAGUGAAUGUGAUGCAAUUUGGGAAUACAGUGAAUAUUUCUACCAUGAAUUUCAUAAGGAUCAUAUGCCAUCUCAAUCCAGUGAUUGCUUCCAGUAGCAGCUUGCGUAUGUUUCUCUAGUAAGCCAUCAAGUUUGUGGCACCCACAAUAGUAUCUUCUAUUUCUCUUUCUUAGCAUACCCUCACUGUUUAGUGCACAAGCAAUAUGACAAGUAGAAUACUUUUUUUUAUCAUUAUCUCCCACUCCAAUCCCGAACAACUGAUCAUUAUCGCUGGGACAUGCGGCACACUGACCAAGCAAAGAAAACAUUGACUUAUCCUGUAAAGUUAUAGACAUGCUCCUGUUUGUAUCGCAGAGGAUUUCCUGAUAACAAGAAAUAGUGCACACUGUAAGAUAUAAUCUAGAACUAAAAUCCUUCAUAUAUCCACUUCAAAUGCACGAAAAUAUGCUUCAUUAACUCCAUAAAGCCUUUAACACACAAAAAAUCAGAGCAACCUCCAUUGCAGCUUCAUUACCCCUCCGGACAGACCAAUAUCCAUCAAAAGAGUUUAGCGUAAUCAAACCUCAUCACAACAUCUCCCCAAACUCAAUAACGUGUUACUAAGAAAACAAUAUGAAAGUAAUACAGUGAGAAACAGGAAUAUAAGAAAAUAAUCUGAAAACAUCAAUAGCUCUAAUCCAAUUAAAUCUCUAUGAUACCAUUUCUCCUAGCUCUAACUGAACAUAGUAUACUCACCAAUGUAUCAUAAUAUCAGAGUUCUACAAGUUUCAAAGUGAACAUUGUAUACUCAUCAAUGCUUCAUAAUAUAACGUUACAACAUUGUCCAAUGUUGUUGAACAAACCACUGUCAAAAUCAUCUAAACUUGAUAUGUACUGUGAGAGUUACACAAUUAAAAGAAAUGCAACUAAAAUACUUGGUGCUUGGAGAAUUAGAUGUUCUUUACAAACUUCUAAUUGCCAAAAAAGAUUAAAACAAUUAUUCUUUAUACCUUAAGACUGUAUUGGCAGCCAGAGAAAGAGGAUUCAUCACAAGCGAAUGCCACAACAAUGUCGAGAGAUGCCGAUGCGCAAGAGACGAACCAGCCAAACAAGAAAGUGUACGAUGAAGAAGGCUCAGUUGAUGACAGGUGCUUCGGCCACCAAAUUCUACAUUGUUUUCUCAUUUUUCACCUCAUGAUCAUCUCAUAGAAUCAACUAAUUAUUCGAUCAUCAAUCACUCUCCUAUCCACAAAAGCCAGCACACUAGAUUAAAUUAAAUUAAAUUAUCCGUUAUUUACAAUAUUAUGCAACGUAGGGUAAUAGAUCCAAAACUUUAUUGUUUUCUCCCCGAAAUUUCUCGAGAAACAAAAACAGGAUUGUGAUUAGAAUAAAUUAGCCGUAGUUAAUUAGAUAAUUAAAGUCCAUUGUUAGAAAUAAAGAGAUAAUAAAUAAGUAUACAAAGAAUUAUCAAUCGUAAAAUUUGGACACGGGUAAACAGGUAGAAAGAGAGAGCUCUUACAAGCUGAAGAAAUCGGUGCCAUUACUUCUGGAUUAUUCAGCCAAGAGCGAAAGAAAGCAAAAGGAAAAAUCUGAGACAAAGUGGUGAGUGUUAGCUCGACUCCAUAUCUCUGUACCUCUGUCUGCCAAAUCUCAAAAAUAAAAUUAAUAUAAGAUGAUGGGCUGUGGCAUUUACAGGGGUGGGCGUUUUGGUUUUCGGUUCGCUUUUUACGGAUUUCGGUUCGGUUUACAAUCCGUUCGGGUUUGAUAAUUCAACCCAAACGGUUUGAAAAGCUACUAUGGUUCUGUACGGUUCCGUUUUAAAUUCGGUUUGGGAUCGAUUCGAUUUGAAAUUCGGUUCGGCUUCAGGUUCGGAUUUUCGAUUUCAAUUCCGGUUUAGAUCGUAAGAGGUCGAAUUGUAUUCAUUUUACAUAAAUACAGAAUAUAACACCUAAAACAGCUUUAAUCACACUAUAAAAAUGAAUACAAAUAUAUUCAAUUCAACAACCUUGCAAAGUAUAUGUCAAAAUAUGAGAUUUUCAAUUAUAUUUUAUUCAUAAUCCUCAAUCUUAAACUCAAAUUUGAGAGCAACAUGAAUAUGCAAAAUUUAGAAAGCCAAAUCUCAAAAAGAAGGCAAAAAAAAAAAAACAACUGAUUAGCUAAAAACACUACCAUCACAAGAAUUACAUAAGUAUAAAAUAAAAAAACCUCAUAAAUUUUUCUUUUUUACCGGCAAGAUCAAGUCAACCAUAUGUCUUAAGCCCAAAAUGCUACAAUAAGAAGACUCUCAACCAACAAAGAUACAAAUUUUACACACCCAAAAUAUUCUACAGCAAACUAAGAAUCAGGAAUCAAAAGAAAAAGAAACAAACCCAGAAGAAAGAAAGCCAAGAGAAGCAAGAACGGAAGAAAUAAAAAGGACAAGCCUUUAAAACCGAACCGAACAGUAAACCCGAUCGGGUUAUAUUAGGGGAAAACAAACCUAAAUUACUAGAAACCAAACCCCGUCCCCCUCAAAAUUAAGCGAAGCCUCAUCUCUCUUUGCAAGUAUUCUGCAUUUAGGAAGAUGCUUUCGAUUUUGGGCUUAGAAAAGCCCGGCCCAUAAGCCUCAUCAGUAUUCGUUACUCAAUCAUAAUGUUCCACGUGGACUUCAUCGCUUCCUCUGAAUCAAAAACAAGAGAAGCUGCCUCAUUUCGUCCUUGAAUUGAAUUGAACACGUACAUCAUCAAGUAUUGAUGGCUUUAGCGUACAAUCAUUACUCCAAUCUUGUUCUUUUCAAACAAUCAAACGAAGUAAAAUUCAAGUGUUUCACGAGUAUUAGAUGUCAAAUACAAACGAAAAAACGAUGCUUGAGAUGCAACACUCUUUAUCUUGACAAAGAUAAUUCCCCAACUGCAUGCUCCUUCCACGGCCACACAACUGGUACCAUAUUUCUUACCUCUAAUAUAGCUUUAGCAUUUGGCACCAACUUGCCAAUUGAGAUUCUUUCUUUUCGAUAUUUUCUUUCGGUACUUUACUAAUUAGUGUUUAACUGCAGGGGAGAAAGGGUUGUUUGCCCUGGCGCCACCACACCAAGGGAUUGAUGGGGAGUGGAGCGAUCACUCUGGGGUGAUCGUUUAUAAGUGGAAUGAAAAGGAUGAUAGGCCAAACACUGGAAGUGCUAACUGGAAGAAAAGAUGGAGCUGCUGUGCUGAGUAUGAUAAAAAUGCCCCGCCUUGUCGGACAGGGUGGCAUGUUUCUUACGAUGAUGGCUUCACAUUGUACUAGUCAGUGUUUGAGUUGAAUGUGGACGCCAGAUUGUAAAAUUCAUCUGAAGAAGAAACGAUGACAUGUUUUCUUACUAGUGUAGCAUCUUGCAUAUAUUUCUUGCUAUCUAUGCAUCUCAGAUUGAUGUUGGUUGAAUUGAAUAUGGAGAACAUCUCAUGUUUUGUUGCUACUACCUUGUAUGAUGUCAUGCAUCUCAUUGUGGUUUGUCACUGACUCGGAAAUAAGGUUUUAUUUUCUUACUUAAAAUUGUAAUUCGUUGUAUUAGCAAUGCUCCAUCGAUGCAACAGCUUUUGGUAUAUACCAAAUUCAAAAUGGCCUACUCUAAAAUUUACUCUGGAUUCAUUCACAUAUUAGUCAAUCUUGGAGUAAAUUUUUCCUUCAAUUGGUUGAGGUAAAUGCAUUGAUUCCUGGAAAACGAAAAGAGUCAAUACUUGAUUUCUUGGAUUUUGGGAGAUAAUUUGUUUGCUCCUCACAUCAAUUCACAAGUUCUCAACCUAAAUUGUUCUAAUUAAACUUUUGUCAGUUGCUAGUAACUCUGCUCCUACUGAACCAGUGUCAUACCUCCUCUCUCAUAUAAUGUAGUAACAAGAAGCAAUGAAACAAGAGCAAGAUACUAUCAUAUUUGCUGUAGUUUCAUCGAACCACUCACUCAGCCAUCGGGUGGUAAAGGUUACCGCACCAACACUGACCUGAUUGCUUCACUGCUCAUAUCUUAAUUUGUUGUGAUAAAAUGAAGAUCAUCUUCUAACACGAAAAGCAGAAACAUAAUAAUUUUUAAAAAAUGUAACAACAAAAUCUUGUUCAAAUUUUAUAAUUGAAGAUUAUUUAUAAUGGCAGAUUAAAAAGACUGAAUAUUACACAUAAACGAACAUAUCGAAUAAACUUCAUUUCACUCAAUUAAAUGACCACACCAAACUCUUACUGAACAGUCUUAAAAGAUUCAUGAACAUGCCUCAAGGUCUCUUCGUCUCGAUUCCACUCGGGCGUCGGUGCAUUAACAAAAUGUGCAUAAAGCUUAUUGUUAGCGCAAGUAACACUUAUCAAGCUAUGAGAACCAACACCAUCAAUCUCAUACACAUAAUAAAGCUGUCCUUUAUCAUCCUUCUUCUCCUCAGAAGCCACCUUAUCAGCGCUCGCUAGCAAGUCCUGCAAAUCCACAUCACUCAAAGCAAGAUUAUUCAACACAGCAUCUUUUGGCGCGAGCUGCCGAAACCCCGCCAAGAACGUCAAGUACUCUUUCUCAGUUCUCUUCUUAGGGUUAUAAAACUCACUGUCUGUUCCAUUUGUACCCUUCUCAACUUUCGACACCAAGCGCUCUUUCCAUCCAUCUGGGACAUCGUAAAUGUACUCAGCGGAGGCUUUCUUGUCGGAGUUGCCGCCGUAGCCGCCGUAGUUUGCUGCGCUGGCGGCUGUGCCGUAGUAGAUGUGGUAUGUUUGUGCAGGCUCAGCUAAUGAUGGCGAAGCUGUUAAGAGCGUGGUGGUUGCUAAAGUAGCCGUCAGUAGGGAAGUGAGAGAUUGUUUGGUGGGUGUGAAGAGAGAAGAGUGGGGUGGUUUUGUUGGGGUUUUGCAGGCGGUGGUUGUGGCGGACGAAGAGAUGACGGGGGACGACGGUGAGAAUAUCGCGGCCAUGGAAUGUGGGCUUAGAUUAGUGGAUGUGGUAGCUGCUGUUGGUUGAUUUUUAUGCGAUUUAUUUUAUUUAUUUAUUUAUUUUAAUUACCUGAUAAGAUGAUUAUUUUCCUUAUCCAAUCAAGCGGGGGUAAAGCUUCAGAUGUUAUGUUGUCGGCCCUUUAAAAGGCCUGCCUGCCUGCCUCGUCAUGAAUCUAGGGAUGAUAUUGGGCCAAGCCCGAGUCCGCCCAUAAUUUUUAAAAUUUUUUUAUUUUGAUAUUUAAAUAAUUUAAAUUUAAAAAAAAAAAGAACAUAACCUUCUCUAAUAUAUUACUUGUCAACAAAAUUCCUUUUUAUUACUUUUCAAGUUAGGAAGUCAUGCGUUGAAGGGGUUAAAUGAUAAUGUUAAGUUAUUUGAGAAUUGCGAUUCGUGAGAUUCAUUAAAUUUGUAUUAUGCCAAAUAAAAUGAAUGAAAUUGUUUUGAUUGGGUCACACGAGAAAUUUUUGACGUGCCAACUAAUUUAUUGAUCGGCGUGGUUAAUUGUCUUGGGUAAAGGUAAAGUAUGUAAUAUACGUGAUAUGAAUCUUUUAGAAAAGGAAUUUUAUUGCUGUUGUUAUUAGAUGAUGUCUCAUGAUGAUGAUGAUUAUUUAGCAUUAUUGCAACUAAAUUUCUUCCGUAUUUUUUUGUGUGGGGUUUCAACUCCAUAGCUAUCGUUUUCUACUUAAAAAUUUUACCAACAAGAUUAGCGGCCCCCCACAAUGCAGAGAUUCAUAUACCUUACAUAUAUAUUUAGUUUUCUGUUAUCAAAUUCAUGAUUGUGUUAUUUUUUUUGAAAAUUGUCCUUCAAAAUAAUUGUAUUCCACUUCCACAACAUAUUUUUUUCAGAUAAUUUUAUAGCAUUAUUACAUCUAAAUGGUACAUAAAGAUCAUAAGUUAGAUAUUACAUGUAAUCAAUAUAGUUACUCCUAAUGAGAAUCUAGCAAUGGUUACACUGGUCUGUAAAUGCAGCAACAAUACCCCCCAAGAAAAGGGGGAGAAAAAAAUAACUAAGAUUGUUUUUGUGUUUUGAGAGUGUGAGUUGUGUCACAUGUGUGAAUGUGCGAGGCGUGUGUGAUUGUUCUUUUUCUCCCUUAAGUUUUCAGGUCGGGACAAGUAAGGCCCAUACCCUGAUCUAAAUUAGUAUUUAAGCUAUAAAGCGACCCUUAACUCUUAAAUUAGGUCAAAAUAAGAAAAUUUUGGAUAAGAUCAAUCAGUCCAAAAAUCGAGUUUGAUCUUUUUGUCAUCCCUAAUCAUGAUUGCUUGAAAAGCAAAACUUUGUUAUAAUUUGGUCAGAAUUAUUUACAUGUAUUCAAGUUUUAGAUUAUUAUUUAUUUAUUUAUUAACACAAAUUAUCACUGCUCAGUACAAGAUUAGAUUAUGAGAUAAUUUUAAUUCAAAUAGUUCCUACACUAUGAAUAUCCAUUUUUGAGGGCUUUGAUUUUUUAACAACUUUCUUUAAGGAUAAUAGAGACUAAAAAAUAAAUUAGAUCUCAUUUCAAUAUUUCUGAGAGGUACAUGUACCAUAUUAAAAAAAAAUUGAAUAAGAGAUAAAAUGAGUCCCUAGCAUUGGGGCUAUAAACCCAAAAAUAGUACCUAUGAGUAAUCCAAUUCUCUUCUCAUAUACAUUUAUAUCUACCUGAGGUCCUGAGCUAAGACACGCUUCAUUCACAUGCACAUAUAUAUUAAAUUGCGUCAUAACAAACAUACCCAAAUAAUUUGUCAACAAAAUUGUUAUGAUAUAUAAUUUUAAAAAAUUAGCUUCAACCAAUGAGAAGUAUAAUUUUAAAAAAUUAGCUUCAACCAAUGAGAAUACUUCUCAAGUCCCAAAUUUGGUAAUACCAAAAUUCUGAAAUUCAUUCCGACCCUCACCGAAAACAAUAAUAAAUUUUGGCAUAAUUGCAAUAGAUAGGGGGCAGGGGCAAUAAUGUACUUGCAGUCCCAAAAAGACACAUCGACCGCCAAAAACCCUAGGGAUAGGGAGCGGGUACUCUCUUGUUUCUAACAUGAAUCAAUGAUGGAAAUUCACGUGCCCCCUUCAUUGUCGCUUCAAUUUCUCUCUCCCCAUUUUAGCUUUCCAUUAAAACAAUCAAUCAAUUGAAUGAUUUUAAGUUUCUAGGGUUUCAAUUGAUUCAUCGGAAGCAAAUAAAAAGGACUCGUUUCGAACACUUUAAUUUAUUUGCGUCUUUCACAAAUUCAAGAACGAAACGACAUGUCCAAGAGGUGAUCUUCUUCUUCAAUUCCUUUCAGUUUUGUUUAAUAUUGCUUUUAGAUCGUAGUUUCUGUUUAGCUAAUCUAAAAUUUAUUGCCUUUUUAUGCUUGGUUGCUGCGAAAAUAUACGCGUUUGAAGAAUGUUAUAAUUUAGCUAUUACUGAUUUAUGAAUUGACUUUGUAGCUAUUAAUGAUCUCAUUGCAUUAGGUAUCUGCCCCUUGUGGUCUUGCUUAUUUCUUGGUAUAAGGUACUGUUAUUGUCAUAAUAAUAUCUUGUGGCUCUUCGAUUCUUUCAGGGUCCUUUGCAAGUUCUUUGCUCAUGGAGCAUGUCUGAAAGGCGAGCAUUGUGAAUUUUCACAUGAUUGGAAGGAUCCACCAAAUAAUGUAAAAGUCUCUUGUUCUAUCACUUUUUUCACUUGGUUAUUGACGUUUGUUUAACUGAUUGCUUUUUUAAUCCAAAAAUUGUUUCUUAUGGUUUGUUAAUUGUUAUCUUAGAUAUGCACUUAUUAUCAGAAAGGGUUCUGCUCUUAUGCUAGUCGGUGCAGAUAUGAGCAUGUCAAACCUUCUCGGUCAGAGUCGGCUGCUUCAUCUUCCUCAUCAGUUUCUCAUCCUUCAAGAGCUACAUCAAGUGGGAUAACUAAAGUUCCAGGUGUCAUGCCAGAGCUAUCUGCACUGAGUAGACCUUUUCUUCCUCCUAAUAAGACAGCAUGGAAUCCGGAGUCUGUGUGCAAUGAUUCUUUAGAGAAUGAUGAGGUUGACGAGCCCAGGAAUCUAAAACCUGCUGACCGUUCUAUCUGUUCAUUUGCUGCUGCUGGUAAUUGUCCUCGUGGGGAAAAAUGUCCUCAUAUUCAUGGAGACACAUGCCCAACUUGUGGGAAGCAAUGCUUGCAUCCUUUCAGACCUGAAGAAAGAGAAGAGCAUAUGAAAUCUUGUGAGAAAAAGCAAAAGCACCUUGAAGCUCUAAGACGUAGCCAAGAAAUUGAAUGCAGUGUGUGUUUGGAUCGUGUAUUAUCAAAGCCUACGGCAGCUGAACGAAAAUUUGGGUUGCUAUCUGAAUGUGAUCAUCCAUUCUGUAUAUCCUGUAUCAGGAAUUGGCGUAGUAGUUCUCCAACCUCUGGAAUGGAUGUCAAUACUGCACUGAGGGCUUGUCCAAUUUGCCGGAAGCUAUCAUAUUUUGUAAUUCCAAGUGUCAUUUGGUAUUACACACCAGAAGAAAAACAGGAAAUUAUUGAUAGCUACAAGUCGAAACUCAAGUAAUUCUGGAAUCUAUUGACCCAUUGCUCAUCAUUGUUUUCUAAUUUAUUGUUAUGCAUUUUACACGAUUUUAGACAAUUUUUUUAAAAUUUUACAGCAGGGCAGUUUACAUAAUUAUAGACUUGAGGUGCUUUUCUUUUAGUCAUGGCUUUGGACAUAACCUUUUUUUUUUUUUGGUUUCGUUUCUUGCAGGUCAAUCGAUUGCAAGCACUUUAACUUUGGUAAUGGCAACUGCCCAUUUGGAACUAGUUGUUUCUACAAGGUAACUUAACUGUCAAUAUCAGUUGCAGCUAUGUAGUUAUUUAUUUUUACCCUUUUACCCCUUAGUAGUGUGAAGCUGGUUAUAAAUGCUUGUUGAAGGCAUGAAAUUUUGCAAGUUCUUUAUUAUUGCUAUGCUGUUUUCCUCCUCUUUUAUGUUCAAUGAGUGUCAAUUGGAUGUCUUUUUCGGUGCUUUAAUUUUUCUUUUUUUUUCCCCCCUGAUCAAAGAUCAGGGAAAUAAUGUUUUCGAAAUCUGUAUCAUGUGCUGUAGGUGAAUGCUAUGGUAGGGUUUUAGUCAUUUGGAUGAUCAUUUUGAACUCAACAACUGGGCUUUUGAGCCAAUAAAGCAUUUGUAUCAGUGAACAUGAGUUCAGCCCAUGACCUCAAUUUGGGAGUUCAGUGUGAAAACUUAUUUUGAAACAGGAGUUCUGGUCCCAGCUAUGUAUGGGAGUAACAUUGCUGUUGGAGAGUGGGAAAUGUCUAUAUACUGUAUGUCAGAUCCAUAUCCAUUUCCACGUCUGCUAUAUAAUAAGGGUGUGUUGUUAUCUUUUCAUGUGGCUUUAAAGAUCUUGUCUUGUGCUAUGUUUGUUUUGUUAUAAUUCAUGUCCAUGCGAAAUCUGUCAAGGUCAGUUAUUUAGCUCUUCAACAAUUGGUACAACGUUGCCAUGUUAAGAUUUGAAUUGGCCAAAAGAGCAUGAAAAUGAAAGAUGGGACUGAAAUGGAGCAAGUCUGUUACUCUUGAUUAGUUAUGGUAAUGUAGAAGGUGGAUGUUGGUAAUCUUAAGAAUUUUCUUGGAGUUAAAAGGCAACAAUAGUUUGCAGUGCUUUGGAGAAAGUGUUAUUACAAUAAUCAAAUUGAAAUACAUUUUAAAAUAUGUUGAAUCUCAUUGUUGAGGGUAGUGAAAUUCGUACCACCCUUAUGUCUGUGCCGCCAUCUCUCCCUCUCUUCUUGAGUUAUUGUAGUAAUCAGUUUAUGUUGCAUUUUUUUUUUCCUUGUAAUGAUUUUCAUUGAUAGUUGUAGAAUACGUGUAGAGCAUAAAUGUGCUGUUUGUUUUAUCAGUCGCAUCUAUUUGCUGCUGUUCCUUGAGGUUCUGUUGAAAUGGAUCACCUGAGUAAUGACUUCUCUGUUCCAAGUGUUGUGCGCCAUAUGUUCUUCCUUUUUUUUUUUCAUUUAUUUAUUUUCAUAGCUACUAGUAGCAGAGAACGUUGGCUUUAUGUCUCCAUUAAUAGAUAUAAUGUUGUGUUGUGUUCCAGCAUAUGGUCAAGCCUGGUUCUUACAUGUGGAAAUAUCACAGGCCACCUCCACGCAGGCCACCUCCAUUCAGGCCACCUCCAUCAAGAUCCAAUGUUGUGGAUAUGGAUUCAUUUAUUGAUGCGUUCGGGGACUUACUUGGGGAAGAUGAACCUGAUUUUUUUGAUGCUGAAAAUGAAGUUAGAAUGGCUUUGGAUGUGGAGAUGGCUUUGUUAUUAACGCAACUAGAUUUUGACUCAAGUGACUCGAGUGAUUAUGAGAGUUAUUUAGAUUAAGUUAUUAGAACUCGCUAUGAUAUCUCUAGUCCAUUCUGUGUUGGACAUUUGAGUUGUCGUUCAUCUUGGUGUUUUGAUAGUCCACUACAUUUUGCAUCAUGGAAUAAGAUGAAGCUUUUGGUUUGUUUCCUUUGAAUAUAUAAUGAAUUCUAGUUUAUUAUGGUUUGGAUUUCUCUCUCUAGUGGAAUUUAGUAGUAAGUUGAUGUUGGCAUUGUCUUGCCUGGAAAUUAUGUGUAUGAUUUUCUGACGCCUGUUGCUAACCAUUGAUUACUAUUCAUCUGUGAAGUUUUGGCUGUUAUUUGGUUGUGUUUAUUGACAUUCCAUCUUUGCAGCAUGCCUAUACAGAUGGUCGUUUGGAGGAAGUUGUUCUGCGUCACCUUGGGUCAGACGAUGGAAGCACUGUGAUAGCUAAAGAUAUCAGGUUCACUAAUUUAUCUCAAUUAACAGUUACUCUGGUUUAAAAGCUCAUUUUUCUUUUAUCUUUUUUGAAAUAUAUUUUCCUACUAAAUUUUUUCAGGUUGUCAGAGUUCCUUACUAAUAUGCACAUAAGGUGAAAAGAGUUGUUAAAGCAUUCCAGCGUAAGUUAUCAAGAAAUGAAUCCUCUUUUGUGUUUUCAACAACUAAUUAAGUGCAGUGGCAUCCUAGGCAUUUGGUAAUCAACAAUGGCAUUGACUACGGUCCAUCUAGAGAUAUCACUUACUCAUUUAAUUUAACAUUUAUGAGAAGUCUCCAGUUAUAGCAACCUGUCAUAUGCAUAGUUAUGGCUUGCUGACACCCUUUCUUCAUGUAUGCAGGAUAUCUAAUAAUGUCAAGAUAUAUUAGCAACAUUGAUGUGGAAGUCGUCCUACAUAGUCAGUGUCAUGCUCUUGUAAUCUUUUGAGGUAAGGUGCAGUUAUCUGAUAUUCUAUGGCUUUUUAACUUCUGGUAACACAAUCAUGAUAUUCUAUGUGUUCAAUUGUGGAGAUUGAAAGAAUCAGUUUUGAUGAAACUGUAUUUGGAAAGCAUUUAGAUUAACAAAAACUUGUUCAAUUAUGUAUGCCCUGCAAUUUCAUUCUUGUGAUUCUUGGAAUUCAGAAUAUUUGUGAUUGUUGACAAUUUGCACUCUCUAUUAGGUGUAUACUGAAGCAAUAACUGUUAUGGAUGCAUGUACAUUGUUUAUCACAUUCUCUGCUCUGUUCAGCUCGUGUAUGGUGCCAAAUGCAGGAUUGCUGGCCAGUUGCCUGAGGGGACCUUCAUGUGGAAAGCUUGAGCAUGCUGGAUUGUAUAACAAACUGCAGAUUAUAUGACCUUGAAUUACAUAAUAAUAGAAAAAACUGAUGGAUGGGUGAAUUUAUUCGAAUUUGAAAUAACAGAUGUGUCAGUUGCAGUGUUUCUUACCCACUUGGCUUCUUGUCCCCAAAAGUGAGAAAUUAGAGACUGUCUGCUUUCAGUAUUUGAUUGUUACAGUAAUAGAAUGUAAAUGCAUGGAGUGACGAAAUACUUUCUGGAGUCGUCAUUCAUUUUGCAGAGUGUUGUAUGCAAGUUUGAAAUCUAUAUGGAACUACACAAAAGCUUCUACUUGAAUUUUGUGUUCUUGUUUCAAAGCAUAUGUUAAAGAUUACACUGUUUUGCGCAUGCAAGGGAAAAAUUACACAAUUGUUUUGGCGUUUAUCAUUGGAAGUGGCUCGCUCGGUGACUGAAUUUUACAAUUUUCUUGAUGUCUGUGUUACCUCGAUGGAUAAUACAGGAAAAAUAAAUAUAUUCCUAAUUCCAUCAGAAAAAAUAAAAUAAAAAGAAUUUCUGCCGGUUGAAAAAGUAUUUUUCCGUUCACAUUAAAUUUUCGACCUUUCUUUGUCCGCUAGGAGAAACAACAAAAAAGGGGGAAAAAAAAGAAUAUUCUUCCAAAUGAUUAUUCUGUUUAAUAACAAGAGAUUUUUAAUAAACCAAUAAAAAAGAAAUUAAUAAAAUUCAAUUUGCUUUUUCCAAUUUCUUGUCCCACCACCACAAGGACAUAAAGAGGAGUUGAAUGAAAUGGAGUAAGAAUUUGACGAGUUCCUACACAUAUAUGUGUAUAUGUACACACAUGUCAUAUACGGUUUUGCUCAAACUGCAGGCGUGCAAUUUUUCUUGUUCAUUGAUUCAAAUUUCAGUUUCACUUCUUCAGCUCAUAUGUGAGCGCACAAACAGGAUUUGGAAGUUACCAACUUGUUUUUUUUUUUUUUUUGGGCCCCCUAAUUUGGUACAAUUCAACCGGUAUUUUACAAUUAAAAUUUGUAUUUAACCCUUACCAAAAAAAUAUAAUAAUAAAUUUUAGACGCAAUAAUGAGUUAGACAUGUCCUCUACUCUUCGUAAUUUUCUGUCAUAUGUCUAUGUAAAAUAUUAUUAUACGAUUGAGAUUUAAUUAAUUCUAUUUCCGUCUAAUAACUACCAAUUCUAUAUUUAUAAAAGGUUAGCAAAAAAGAACAAUUCAAUUUUAAUAAUAAUUCUCCUGAUUUUAAUCAGAGAAAAUAACAGGAUGAAAAAUUAAAACCCCUUUUUAAUUAAUUUAUCUUCAAUUUAUUAAAUAAUUAAUCAUCAACUUGUGGCUGCGGUGUUUGUAAACCCAAUUGCUUCUAAUAAAUCUCUGAUCUGCACUUAAAUAAUUCAACAACAUUUUUAUGAAGCCAAGUCCCAUUCACACCACAUGAAACUCCCAUAAGAAGUCAAGAACAAAGAGAAAGGAUCAGAGGAUAAACAAAUUAUAUAUAAAAUAAUAUAAAAUCUCUUUUAUUAUUCAACCGUAUAUAACAAAUAUGUAAGGAUGGCUAUAUACAAUAUAGUAUAACAACAACGAAUAAUAAUCAAUAGUGAAUACAAAUAAUAUUAGCCCCAAAAUCUCAAUAAUAAUAAUAAUAACAGCCCAUCAUCAACAAAAAGAAAAAGAAGAAGAAGAAGAAAAAAGCGAGUGUCUCAAAAACAGAGAGUACAAAAGGAGCCCGAAAAACAAUAUAAUGAAUAGAAACUCAAUGGUUGAGGAAAGCAAGAGCAGACAAGAAGAAAGAAGAGCAAAUGAGGGCCCCAGAAAGCCCCGUAGAAUAAGAAGCAGCUCCCUUGUCCAUGGAUGGUGCCGGCGCAGGUGCCGGUUCUUGAGCAGAAACAACAGCCACAGCAUAAACCGCCAUCACAAAAAUCAAAGCAACUCUAUUAAUCUUCUUCAUUGCUGCCAUUUUUAUGAAAUGCGAGGGGAAGAUGGGAAGGGUCUGGGCUUUUGCUUAGCGAGAUCGUUGAAGACGUCGAUGAUAAUCAACACGAUGAGUGAGAGGAAGCGGUGCUGAAGUCUAUUGUUUAUUGCUUAUUUAUAGGAGAGCAUUUGCGCGUGGGGGCCCCACAGGAACGUGGACAGCUGGCGGGGGAAGUGGCCACGUUGAGAGAACAGAACACAACAUAUGUGUUUUUUAUUUAGUCCGUUAAGAAAACGGCUAGUUACCCUUAACGUGGCGGUAGUUCAGACUUAAAGACUUUAAUACGUUGCUGCUGAUGAUGGUUUCUUGCUUCGUAGUUCGGCGAACGCUUCUUUUUUAUCCAACCGUUAACCUACCUUUCCCCUAACCCAUGGCUAGGUCAAACCCCACACAAAUAUCUUUCACUCGCGGCAGAAUGGGGAAAUUUACAUCAAUAAUCAUAAAAAUUUUAACUUUUUUUAUCUUAAACCCCCAAAUAAACUUCUAUUAAUAUUAGUCAUAAAAAAAUCUUUGAGACCAAAAUACCACUCUCUCUCAUCUCUCCCCCAACAAUCUCUCUUUCUCCCAUCUCUCCCAAACCGAAAAACCAAGCUUUGCAAACAAUCUCAAUUGGUUUAUUCUGGAAUAUGGGCAAUACCAGAAAAGACUGUUGUACUUGGUGGAGUUGAACCACCUGAGCGAAGCUUGUCGCGGAAAGGAAGCUCCAAUGAAGGAUCAGUACCUGAAGAGAGAAGAAACUUUACGCUGGCAGGUCCUAGAAGAGUUAGCUCUGAUGCUUGGGAUGCUAGAGAUAGACAAAAGGCUGUUACGAACUGGUCAUUCUCAUUUAAUCCGGGGCCUUUCAAUAUUAAAGAACAUGUUUUGAUCACCAUUUUCGCUAGCUGUGGAGCUAGUGGUGUUUAUGCUGUCCAUAUUAUUGCAAUGCUCAGGGCUUUCUAUAAAAGAAGUAUACAUCCGGUAGCGGCCUUGUUGCUUGCACUAACAACUCAGGUAUAUUUACAAUUUUACAUUAGUACUACAGUUACAAAACAUUCUAAAAGUUUCUCAACUUUGAUUUUUAUAUUUUGUUUUGGGCAAUUCAGAUGCUCGGUUAUGGGUGGGCUGGUAUAUUCAGAAGAUACCUCGUGGACUCUCCAUACAUGUGGUGGCCAGCAAACCUGGUUCAAGUUUCUCUAUUCAGGUGCUCAUUCAUCUUCCAAAUUCCACCAUUUUUUGAACUUGAAGCAACACGAUGCAUUUAUUCAAUCUGUUAAAAAAAAAAAUUGCAGGGCACUACAUGAAAAAGAGAACAGGCCAAAGGGAGGACUUACCAGGAUACAAUUCUUUUUCGUGGUGUUUGUAUCGUGUUUUGCUUAUUAUAUCGUCCCAGGAUACCUUUUCCCUUCCCUUACUGCUCUUUCUUUUGUUUGCUGGAUAUGGAAAAGAUCUGUCACAGCUCAACAGAUAGGUUCAGGACUGAGUGGCUUAGGCAUUGGUGCUAUUGGAAUCGACUAGUCUACGGUUUCUAGCUUUUUGGGAAGUCCAUUAGCGACACCAUUGUUUGCCAUUGUCAAUACUUUAGUUGGUUUUGCCUUAGUCAUGUACAUUCUUCUUCCCAUCUUUUACUGGAACAACGUAUACGAAGCCAAAUGAUUUCCCAUUUUCGGUGCUGCCACUUUACGUUGGCAGGUCCAAAAUUGUCUGUCGCACCAAGUUUCGUGCGAUAGGAGAGAAAGAAAGUUGUUUUUGGCUUGUAAAGAAAGUUGGCUUGUAAAGAAAGGUAAUUUAGGGAGAAAAACAUGUGUUUGGUUAAUGUUGAUAGAAAAAAAUUGAGAGGAUUAAUUGUGAAAAUAACAAAAAUUUUAUGAUUAUUUUCGAAAAUUUUCCAGAAAAAUGGGUUUUUUAACUUUUUUUUCUCCUCUUCUUUAUCAUCCUUUUUUUUAUUUUAAGAUUUGUUUUUUAAUUCGUUAAUUAUCCUCUUUUCUAUUUGUAUUUUUUUUCUUAUUAAUUACAUCGGAUCCCGACUUUUAUUACCUUCACGUCAAUUGAGCCGGUAAGCCCACCAACGUGACAAAGCUUGUUUUGGACUUUGGGUUAAUAAUAUGAGUUUCAAACCACGAAACUUGUUCUACAAUUGAGCUAUUAUAACCCUUUAAAAUUUCUUAUAGAACCCCGAUACUCUGCAUUGCUUUAUACUAUUUAGUUAUAGCUGGGCACAUAGAGAAAGUAGAAAUGAAGAAAUGAAGGGAUUAAGAUUUUCUUAUUAUUUCUUUCUCUCUUAUUUUUUACUUUCUCCUUAGUUUCUUUUUUAAUCUAGUUAAAAAAAAUAGCUUAAUUGUAAAUAAAAUAAAACUGACUUAAUUAUCAACAUCAAAAUUCAAAACUUAAUUUUGGCUACUCAUGUAACUAUGAGAGGUUAGAAGAGAAAAAGAGAAAAACAUGGAGAGGAUUCUUAUUUGAAAUGAGGAAGAUUUAUGUAAUGCCUGAUUUUUCUCUUCCAUGCUCUAAUUAGUCUCAAAUUAGGACAAAAAUCCUCUCAUAGUCUUUUUUCUUAUUUAUUAUUUAUUAGUCAAAAGAGGGGUCAAGAUUGAGUUUUAAAUUAUGAUAUUGAUCACUUUAUUUACAUUAUGUCAUCUUUUUUUACUAGAUUUUAAUAAUUAUAAAAGAUUGGGGGAAAAAACACAAAAAAAAAAUUCUAAUUUUUCAGCUUUUUGUCACACCAAGAGAUCGUUUAAAGUAAGCAAAAUGCUUGGUGUAGCGAAACAUGAAAGAAAAAUGAGAGAAAUAAAAAAGAAACAGGAAGAGAGAGUGAGUGAGUAGAGAAAGAAAAGACAAAUUUCUCUUAUCUUUCUCUACACUUAGCAUUACUUUUUAAGCAAUAAUCAUUAUACUAAAAAGUUAAUGUUGACUCUUGAGUAAACAGAACAAAUAUAAUUUAUUUUUCUUUAAUUGAAGUACAUCAAGACUUUCACUGAAGAACAUUGUAAAAGCAUCCAUUUUAGCCUUAGUUAAAGCCAAACCAACUUCAAUGCCACCCUUCACAUCUCUGCUCUCAGUAAAUGAAAUUGCUCUCAUCUUAUCUAUUGAAAUUUCCUCUAUUUUCUUAGGCUUUCCCCACCCAAAAUCAGUCUCAUAAUAAAACUCCAACUUUGGUGACCCAGCAACCAUAACAUGGAGCUUUGACUCAAAAAAACACCUCAUAAUCCGAAAUCCACUUCUCCGCCCCUCCUAAUAUUUCCCCAUCCGGCUCUGUAACCGUGCUUCCUAUCACAUUUGCUGCAACAACGAUCCCAUCUUCUCCUAACAAUUCAUCCCAAGUUGCCAAGCAACGUGCAAACCCUGAGCAAUUACCAAAAUGAGUUGUGGGAAUCCGAUAGUACAAAGUGGUUAUACCGCCCGCAUUGAACCCGAAGUAACACGGAUCCUCACCCAAUGAUUUACCUGGCUCAUUUACCUUUGCUUCUGCUUUUACAUAACAAACCCAAAUUAAAGAGCAAGUUAGUCCAUUGCUUGAUCUUCUCCAUAUUAUUCGGGCUAACAAAAAAGUUGCCCUAACCGUAUUUGAUAAAUCUAAAUUGGCCAUUCCAUUGCAUAUGACGACCAUUUCUUGUGAAGGUCUUCGCUUGCACCACUCAUUCAGGAAAAUUCCCUCCAGCCCAUUUGUGUCUUCUAUCGCCAAACAACCAAAUGGCUCGCUCAAGCAAGAAGAGUCUCUACAUACCGAGCCCCAUGUCUUUAAGAAAUUGCUAAAUGUUCUUCCAUCAUUAGAGAAAACUGUUAAGUUGCACGGCAAGCAAUAGAAGUUUAGCUUGCUUACAGGCACUAGUACUAGCCAAUUCAGGCACUAAUGAGUAAAAUUCAUUCACAUAACGUUGAUGAUUGCCCGAUAAACGAUUAAAACCACUGUUAGACUCAGCUAAAGUUAAUAAAACAUAGUCCCCAUGGGCGUAAAGAAUGUGAGACUUAGUGUAUCCUUGACCUUGCGGCAGUACUGUAAGGUUCGAAAGGGGACAGAUGUUGGAGAGUAAGAGCGGGUGAAUGCUUGAGCACUGGUAAAGACUAAAGUGUUUGACAAAAAUUGAGAGAUGGGAUAAGGAUUCUCGAAGAAGAAUAAUAGUUCGAAACAAUUGGAGAGAAUAUUCAAGGCCGCAAAGUUAAGUAACCUGCCUUGCUUGAUGAUAGUAUGUAUGGUUGCUUUUUCAUUAUUGAAUUACGAGCAGUAUACAACAGAGGAAAGUGGAAACUGCAAUACACAAAGCAGAAUAAAUGACAAAUACGAGUGAUGGAAGAGCCUAGCAGAGAUUUAACACUAAGACAUCUCUAAUUACACAAGAUUUUUGUCCCAAAAAAAUUAUUUACCCCGAAUGCUAACCCUAAAUUUACGCCCCGAAUGAUAAAACGUACCGUUUGGUUUCAUUUGUUUUUUAGAAACACAUAUUUUAUUUGUUUUCUUUCUUUCCACUUUCCUUUUACACUUUUCCUUUCCACUAUCCCUUUACACUUUCUUUCCACUGUCCCUUUACAUUUUCCUUUUCCUUAGCCCCGAAAAUGUAGAGGUUUAGCACAUUCACAAACCAAUUCCGAUUUUGCAGUUUCCAAAUGGAAUUUUGCACUUAUGAUUUUUCACUCUUUUCAGCGCUGCAAUGAAUUCUCUACUCCGCUUAAACGAAAGGAAUAUGUAAAGGAAAAGUAAAUGAAAUAAAUGCUGCACAAUUGAAAAAUAAUAAAUGAAAAAAGUAAACCAAACACGUUGAUUGACAAUCAAAUUAUACAAAACAAAUAAAAUACGUGCUUCUCAAAAGUAAAUAAAAAACAAAUGAAAUCAAACGGUAUAUUUUAUCAUUAGGGACGUAAAUUCGGGAUAGCAUUCAGGGUAAAUACCAGACUCUGUCCGUCCUAAUUAAAGUUGGGAUAUUUCCGAUGUUAAAAGAUUUGUAUCUCAUCAGCCAUUGAAAUAAUGACAACUAUAAUUAAUUACUGUCCCACGUUCACAUGAUGAUACGUGCCCAAUCCCUGUAAAAAAUAAAAGAAACAUCCUGUAAAUGUGAAUCACACAGCAGUAAGUGAAAUGAGAUAUCUUGUUUCCAUUGAUAAAGAGGACAAAUAAAUGUAAAUGAUAUAGGAGACAAUGAAUUAUUAAAGGACAUGUAGCCAUGUAGGACUUGAUUGAAGAGAAAGGUGAAGGCAUCAUUUGAACGUUAGGUAGAUCCACACCAACCUCGAUUUCACCUUCGAGAUCUCUACUUUCAGCAAGCGAAAUGGCCCUUAUUUUUAGUAUGAUUGGAAUUAGAAUAAUUAUAAUUUAAAAAUUAUAAUAAUAAAAUAUUUAAUAAAUAUUAAUUAUUAUAUUUUAAAAGUUAAAUUAAUUUAAUUUUAUAUUUAUAUAAUAAAAAAUUUAUUAUAUCUUUAUUAAUUUUAUUAAAAUUAUUAUUUAUUACUGCUGUACCGUACAUCCGCCUUGGCCGUACAGCAGUAUCAUCAUCAAAUAAUAUUUAGGGCAUGAAUUUCCAAAUUUGCCGUUUGACCGUUAGAAUAAAUGGUCAAAAUAACAUAUUUGGGUGUGGAGUGAGUAUUGUUGAAACAUUUGGGGUCUAAACAACGUUUUUAUCAAUUGAAGUCUCCUUGAUUUUCUUAGGCCUGCGCCACCCAAAAUCAGUCUUGUAAAGAUGGAACCCAACUUGGUGAUCGGGCAACGAAACCAUGGAUCAUCUAUUCAUGUUCACCCAACUUGCCCUUAUCCAACUUCAUGAUUGUGUUUCCAAUUGCAUUUGCUGCCGCAACUAUCCCAUCUUCACCCAACAACUCUCUCCUUGUACUCAUUGACCUACCGAACCCGAUACACCUACAGUUGCGGAAAUAUGUAGUGGGCACCGGAUGAUCGAAACGGAUUAUAAUUAUAAAGCCCGAACCCGAAGAAAAUCCGAUCCGUAGAUAUUUUUGACGUGUGGUAAUGUCACGUGCUUUUGCUUUUUAGUUUUUACCAAACAGACGCAUACAGAAGAACCCAAGUACUUACUCCGCCUGUUUCUUCAUCUUUCAUUGAGCAAUAAUCCAUGUUCCAUUGAUAUUUUCCAAGUCAAUUGAGCCUGCCACAAAAGUAGCUCUGGCCAUACUAGACUGUACAAGUCAAUGUCGGCUUAUUUUGCACCACUCCUUCAAAAAAGAUCUCUUCAAGGGCCAUAUCGUCUGUCAAUAAUCACUGCACGAUCAAACAAUGCAUGGCGAUGGCUUCAUUGAGAAAGAUGAGUGAUGGAAUGUCAAAGAAAGUUAAGGGGAUGGAGGUUGAUGAUGAGUUUGAUAGUUAGUGGAGAAGAACUUUGACCAUGGACAUCAUGGAGGGUUUGGCACGAUGAAAGACAGAAAUGCGGGUGACUCCUGAGUGCUGAACGCUCACUUCGAAAUUCAAACUGUAUAAUUCAGACGAACGUGCUGUAAGUCUCGUUACUAUAUCGCAGUGAUGCCAUAUGGCUUUCAGUUCACAACACGAGCUUGCACGCUGCACAUGUUGAUAUCUUUAUAUGGACUGAUUGACAAUCUAAUCCUCUCUCCAUCCAUAUGAUUUUUCAAAGAGUUAUAGACUAAUGUGCAAUGGCAAUCUAAUUCAUUCCCCAUUCAUUUUCUUUUCUUUUCUUUUUUUAAUUAUAAACUAAUCGCAAUCUAAUUAACAUUAACUCUCCACUUAUCUGAGGGGAAUUCAAAUUUCAAAUCUUUGGUUCCACUCAAGAAAUUUUACCAGCUGAAUUCACUUAUUGCAUCCUUAAAUAAUUAAUAUAAAUAACUAUGAGUACGAAUCUAUAAUCGAUAAUAUAACGUUUUUAUUUAUUACACACAUAAUUCUAUUACAGCGAACCAAAAAAUGAACCCACACGCAUAAUUCUAACGCCGAGCAGAUAUAUGACGUGACAUUGUCAAAUUUGUAACAUUUAAAUUAUAAUUAAGCAUGGAAGUUGGAAGAAUGAUAAUCGAUUAAUAGUUAGACAUUCCAUUGAUGAUCGAAGAGAAUAUCAAAGAAACAACUCCUCGGAGUCCUUCAAAACAUUAGCAAAUCCCUUUCCAAGUGAAAUAUCACAAAUUUCUUCAUAAGAAUAUUCCGGACUUGACUACACAUCAAAUCUAUUUUAUUUGUGAACAGGCAGAAUUUUAUUUUAAUUUAUUUUUUUAAUUAUUUUAUAGAAUCUAGUUUAUCAAAGGAAGAAACAAUUAGAUAAACAUCACAUUAUUUUUCAAAUAGGUAGAAAUUUGUCCAAAAAUAUGCAUGCUUUGCUAUCUGAUAAUUUCAUUGUCUUUCAUGGUUUCAGUUUCCGUUAUAUGUAUAAACAUAAGCUAUAAUUUUGCAACGAAAAUUAAAUUGGGAUUUUACGAGAGAAGAUAGGGAUUUUUUUUUCCAUUUUUAAUUUUAAUUUUUUUUUUAAAGGGCUGUGCCAUCCAGCUGCAUGGAUUGGUGGCUCAGCCCUGAAAGUUCACGGAAAAUCUCCCAUAUUUGUUUUAGAAAAAGAUGUAUAUCUAAUAGCUAACACAUUAAUAUCUCAUUUUUACGUAAUUCAUAAUUCCUUGUGAGAUAGUGGAAGACUGGAAGUUAUAGGAAAACUAAAGGUUGCUAAUGAGAGAUAGUGGAGAGACUAAGAGAUAUAUGUUAUGAACAUCUACAUUUAUUUUAAUAAAUUCAUAACACUCCCCAUUGGAUGUUCAUUACAAAGAAUAUGUCUCAUUAAAAUAUUUACAUAAUUACUAUUGUGUAAUAACAAUCAAAUUAAUUAUGAGAAGAUGAAAAACCAAAUCUAAAAGAAAAUUUCUCUAUUUAUUAGAUAAUAGAUAAUAUACAAAGAUAAGAAAUGAUAAUGCCAUAUCACCUUCUCAAGUCGCAGCUUUAUAUAUAUAUAUAUAAAUAUAUAGAUAUAAUAUCUUCACCAACACCAGAGUUCGCACACAUUUGAGGUUCAAAAGAAUGGCUUCAAUCAAGGGUUCUUUAAUAGCAGCAGCUGUUUUGCCUCUUGCAAUGCUGUUGCCAAAACUUAUGGUUCACGCUUUUGACGAUGCGAUAGCUCCUUCACCAGCCAUGGCUACCGGAUCAGCUUUUGCUUCUUCAGCUUCGGUUUAUGUCAUUGCGACUUCUGCUCUGUUUUAUGUUUGUGGUCUUCUCUUACACUAGGCUUCAUCCGUACGUAUGUAGCUAGCUAGAAUGCCCGUUUAGUUAAUGAAUAUAUAAGUGUCGUCGUUUUCUCUGAUAAUGCAGACGAGUUGUCUUUAAAUUUCUCAAAAUGUGAACGCACUUCCAACCCAUGGCAUGAACCCAACCAUUUUUCCUACUUUCUUUUCCGAAAAUUGGAAGGUAACCCAACCUUGAUUUUCAGACGGAGAAACAUGUAAUGCAUAAUUCGCAAUUUUCUGAUGAAACAUGUCAUAACGAGUGCACACACUGAUGACUGAUGCGAUGCACAUGCACUACACUUUAACCUGCUAAUGGGAUUGUGUAUAAUAGUUAAUGACUUGAAUGGUUUAAUAAUGGCGGGCUUUGUGUUUUUGGUUCUAAAUGGUCAAUUAUCCUCCACCUUUGUAGGUAAGGUAAGAAUAAGAAGCAAUUUCUUUUUCAAACACCAUACUAUUUGACCCAAUUACAUCACAGGAAAAUCCAGUACAUGCUAAGAAACAUCGCACAAAAUUUCAUCCAAAAGAAUAUAAAAUCUUUCCAUAUAAUCCCACCAAACAUUUACACACCCAGCAGAUUCCAAAUUCCAUAAGAUCACAAAAGCAAAUCCCAGCAUUUUAUGUUCAGUAAGUAAAAACCUAAAUAAUUCUAUGGAGCAUAAAAUACAGCUUCGAGCACCGUCAUAGUGAAAUUAAAAAUUAAAAUCAAAAUCAACUUGGUUUAAGAAAAUUCCAAAUCGAUUUUUAUUAUCACUAAACCCGAAAACACAAAGUCCAAUUGAAUCUUAUCUAGCCAACAAAUGGAACAACAAUCCAGAUGACAAACCUGCAAUACAAAGCAAACUAACCCCGUGUACCCGAGCAAAUAGAGCAUUCAAAUUCUUAACAACCUGAAGUGUCAAAGUAAGAAUCUGCAAUCUACCUUGUUCCUCCAUCUUCUUGAAGAAGUACAUUGGCUUCAAAGAUCGCCUCAGUAUAAGCGCCAAAGCAAAUGGAAAUCCAAAAGCCACGACGUUCUGCAUUGAGACCUCUAUUAUGGGUGAUGCUUGCGUAAUGUAUGUAAUCCAAGCUCCUAUUCCUAAUUGGAACAGACCCAGAAGGGCAACGGUUCUGCUGAGACUGUAAAUUUUCUUCAUCAUUUCUUCAAGCACCUGUCUGGUUUCUUUAGCUAAAGCUGAUAAAUCACGCUCUACUGUUGGUCCUUCAAUUUCUUGGUGCUUGAAAUUAGGGUUUUGACUGGGGUACUCACUCGGGCUUUGACCUUGCUGCGGCUCCUCAGAGAAAAAUCUGGGUUUCGACUGUGAUCUUGUAUAAUUCAUGGGGUUGGGGCUUUGUAGUUGAUGAUGCAAAAAGUCGUGAUUUUUAUUGGCAGUCGAGUAUGAAUAUGACCUAAUAAUGAGACCCAGAUGGGGAUUUAUAGGUUUUGGAUUUAAAGGCGUUUGAGGGACCAAACAGGUAGGGGGAUCUGAUAAGGGUGAAGCUGAAACGAAAUAUAAGAUUUUGGAGUUAGGGUCUAAGGGAUUUUGUUGUGAGAAAAUUGAAUUCGAGGAGGAUCUAGGGUUAGGAUUACGGUUAUGAGUUAUGAAAGAAGCGCACGACAAAUAAGAUGAAGAGGGUUUGAAGAGUCUGGAGGAAAAUCUACGGGAAGCGAUGGCGGCCAUUCUGAGAUUUUAGCUUUCUACAAAAACACACGGGAAGAUGGUGGGCGCAUCAGAGAUUUAAACAGGGGAUCCCAUCACAUAAAACACAUGUGAUCGAAUAGAAGGCCGCAGUCAGUCUCAGUCAAUGCCCCUGAAUUAAAAUUACGAUCCUUUAGAUCUCUUUCCUACAAUUCCCCAAUAUCGUAAUUUUUUUUUCUACGACUGUUGAUCGUAUAUGCUGUAUUUGUUUGGAGAAUCAUAUCAUUUUUAGGGAUAGGCUAUAGUGUAAUUGUGGUACCGUGUCACAGUUGCACCAGUUGUUGGAUCCACUCAAAUGAGUGGGGUCUACUUGAAUAAGUAGAAAUCCAACAGUUGGGUGCAACUGUGGCACGGUACCACAGUUGCACUACAAUUUUAUUCUCAUUUUUAUUAUAUUUUUAUCUAUUUCAUUUUUAUUUUGCCAAAAACAAAUUACAAACUACGUAUACCAUGUGCGACGGUAUAAUAUUAAUGAUUAAUGAAUGUUGCAACUAAGGAUGGCAAUUGUACCCGCAAACCCGCAAACCUGCCCAAACCCACCCGCCAAAACCCGCCCGUUGUGGGUAAUUUUACCCGUUGCGGGCGGGUUUAGUAUUAUAAAUUAAAACUCGCACAUGGAUGCGGGUGGGUUUGGUAUUAACCUUAUAUCCGGUGGAUACCCGCAUGGAUAUCCACCAAACCCGCAAUAAUUUUUUUCAAAUAUUUUUAAUUUAAUUUAAAUAUAAAAAUAUAUAAAGAAAAUAAUGUAAUUAAUCAAAUUACCAAAUAGCCAAAGAUACUAGUUUGUGUUUUUUAAAUGGAUUUGUGUAAUUUAUACUUAAAUUUGAGAAUUUGUGUUGAAUUGAUGUAGAAAUUUUAAUUUUUCAUUUACAUUAUUUAAAUAUAAAAUUAAGUAUGUUAUAUGGAAUUUGAGGUUAUUAUUAUAAAUUUAUAUAUUAAACAUUUGUGAUUUUAAAUACGGAAACCCGCAAAAAAUCCGCCGGAUACCAUUGCGGGUUUGGUAAUUGUUAAAACCUGCUGCGGGUGGAUUUUUGUACAAAAAUUAAAACCCGCUGCGGUUUGCGGGUGGGUUUGGUAAUUUAAAUUUUAUGCGGGUUUGGAUUUAGUAAUGACAAACUCGCUGCAGGCGCUGCCCAUUGCCAUCCCUAGUUGCAACUCAUUGCUUCUUUGGUUAUCGGCAUCAUUUACUCUUUAUAUUACCACUCUGAUGUUUUAUUUUCUCUGAAUUGUUCGAUCAACUUGAAGCUCUUCCAAGUUCAGUACCGGCAAUACCGAUUGACUGUUGUCGAAUAUGAUUUCUUUUUCCACAUCGAUUUUUUUUUUUAAUUUUAUUUUUAUGGAGGCUUCUUUAAAAAUUAUAAUCAAGUUUUCACUUCACAAGAAGACAAAAAAUAUUAGGUAAAUUUCAUUCGCAAAUAAUGCAAUUGCUGCAAUCCGUGGAACGUUCAUUAUGUCUGAAACCCGAAACUAGAGUUCCCUCCUGUAACAAUUAUACACUGGAUCUUUCAAAAUCACACACCAAAUUACAGAAAGGUAAAAACUUUAAAAAAAAAAAAAGACCGUAAACAUUUUUCGUAACAAAAACUGAUACUUAUAAAAGCAGUCUCAAAAUUAUAAGCAGUAAGAAGUACGUACGAAGAGGAAAUAACCACAAAAGGUUUUUCUUCGAAUCUUUUUUCCCAUCAAUAGUUUCUUCUGCUUCUCCCUUUUUUCUCAUUAAACAAUAUAUAAGCGCAUAUUUAAAGAAAAAAAAAAUCAUAAUGAUUUGAUGCCUCAAAACUAGAACCAACUACUCAUCCUCUGCAUUCACAAAUUUCAAUGCAUAUAUAUAUAUAACUGGGGAGCAGGAAAACUUGCCAAACAAAGAAAUAAUUCCGAUUCUAGUCCUCUUAUUGCCACCCACUCACAGUGAAUCAGAGCAAAACCUUCAAUCACCCCCUUCAUUUCUCUAACAUUCUCUUUUUCUCACCAUAAGAACCAAAAAAUCGUAAUUCUCAUAACCAUCCAUUCCCAGGCUCCACACAUCUUCAGACUUUUUCCCCCCCUUUUCAACUCUGGAAGAUGUCCUACACGUACAUAAAGUCAUGUUCAUUCUUAUAACCAUGGAAUUUGCUUGAUUCAUUGUUCCAGCUGUCCGUAUGCAGACAUUUACGGAAUAUGGAGCAAUCAUUGAGCAGCUAUUUAGUAGACAACGUUAACUCUAGAACUAAGUGGUACCCGAACUCCCAUAAGUUUUAAGCUCUGGUCUGAUGUAGGUGAGGCUACGAGCAGUGGGAGAAGGAACACUGUUCCCAGGAACUUGGGCACCACUAUCAGAUGGAGAGGCCUGAGCAUCCCGCUUCCACUGCAAACUUCUGGCACCAGGUUUAAUAGGAAGAUGAGGUCUAAAUGCCCCAUGAAUGCCUCUAGGGAAAGGAGCUCGGGUAAACCUAGCUGCAGUAUAUGGAGAACCCCGUGCACCCCGGCCCCAAGUCAUGAGGGGAGCAGUGUCCUGAUGAGCAGCACUUCUCUUCACAACCUACAGGAAACACCAAUUACAAAAGAUAGUUGAGGCUCAGCAGCGUCAUCGCAUUUUAAAGCAACCAAUUCAAAAGUUGCAGAAAAGGGGCAAAUAUAUAAAAUUAAGUGACUCAAGCCUACUGCCAUGUGGCCCCUAGGGUGUAGCUUGGCUAGCCCUCAAGGCGCUUUGUGCUCGUAAUCUCCUGAGUUUGGGUAAUAAUAGGGGUAAGGGUUGGUGUUUACAGGGUGGGGUUUCUCAUCCCCCAUCCAAAUCAUAAAAAUGCCUAAUGUAAUGCCAUGUGCACGUUCAAAGUGGAAUGAGAAAACAUUAAUACUGUCUUGGCAUAAUGCAUAUACAAAAGAUACAAUUGGACCAAAUAACGUCAAUUUUAAAUGAUAUUAUUUAACAGUUUCAACAACUUCAUGUAUUCCCCAAACUCCACAGGUAAGGUACUUCUUCUAGCAUAAAAAAAAAACUAACGAAACUCUAGAUAUCUGCAAGAUUCUAACACGUGUCCCCAAUGCAAAAAUGAUACAAUACAGCUAGAAAACUUGGCAGUUUCCUCAAUAUUUCUAUUCUAAGUCAUCCCAAAAUUUAGCUAAAAUUCAAUAAAUAAGUGUAGAAGGAUAAACUUAGAUGGUCAAAGCCGUGAACUUACUUAUGGUAGAUUCUAAGCAAGAUCCAAGUGAAAAUUAUUAUUAAUUGUUAUAUAUAAUAGAAGGGAUACAACACAUGCCAAAAUAGGUUCACAAUCUACAGGACUCCAUAUUAUUGCUAGUUUAUCAUUUUUCAUUAAAGGAUUUGCUAAUAUUUGACACAGAAAAUUUUAAGAGACUCAGAUACAAUUGCUGCUUUAUUCAUACUUCAUUAAAAGGUAGCCUAAUAUUUAAAAUUGAAAAUUCACUAGUUAGGGGACGCCACUUUGAUACCCCAUAAAAUUUCCCUACCAUUUCAGAAUUAGCAUUUGGUUCUUGAGCACACCCCAUGAGGCACUGAAAGCAAUAGUACUUCAGGACCACCCCAACAUAAAUCAUUAACUAUUAAGCAACAACCAAUCAGCGAAUUCAACACCACAGUGCUAUUGAGACUAUUCUAGCCAAUGUGAACAAUUAAAAAACUGUUACACUUAUCAGAAAAUUUUCACUGCCCAUUCAAAAAUCCAGGGAUUUCAUGAGCACACACCCCCACCUUCCCCCACCCCCUAUGUUUCAUAGAAGGAAAACUAUCCUCAAAAAUUAUUCAGAAAAUCAAAUCACCAGGUAUCUAAAUACCUUCAAAAUCCGAGACAUAAAGGAGGUUCCAUCCAGACUUAAUGCAUUGUCUGCCGCCUCUUUUCUCAUGAACUCCACAUAAGCUGACCUGGUAAAAUAUCUUGAUUUAGUACCAGUAAAUGUCUUAUCAUUAGAUUGAAAGAAGACUUUUACCCAAGCAAGUGAAAGACCAUCCUUACCCUUUUGGUUGCCCUGUUGCAGCAUCAGUGACUAUAACCACUUUCAGAACCUCCCCAAACUUAUUAAAAUGACGUGAAAGACUAUCCUUGGUAGCUGCAAAAUGAACCUGUAGAAGAAUAAACAAAAGCCACUCAAAAAGAGAGACCCAAAAAAUUCUUUUUUUUUUAACAUACAAGGUCAGGAGUGUAAGCUAGUACAUUGCUGAUGAAAAUGGUUCGAGAAUCAGCGUCCUCUUGAGGACGACCAGCAGUAUAUAAACCUGCAAAAACCAUCCCCCCAAAAAAAAAAGUUCAUAUCAUGGGAAACGCAGAACAAAGAUGAGCAAAAUGAAGUCACAAUGGAAUAAAAAGAAUCAAAGAACUGAAAAUAAGGGGGAGGGGGCUAAAGAGAUCACAGACAUGAGUGACGCGAAAAUAAUAACAAAGAUAACAACAAAAUUGCAAAUUUGCAAUAUGCCUAGUAAUCAUCUAACAAAAACAGCACGAGCUUAAAACUCACCAGAAACAGAUGGCAGUGCCUUUUCAGAUUCUUUAUGAAUACGUACGGUAGGUUUAGCCUGUCAACAAUAGCAGUGCAAAAAGAUUGUCAGGAAAUAAAUAUAACUAAUAAAGAAAAUUGAUCAGUAUGACACAAGGAAAAUUACAAGCAACUAAAGACCUUGCAAUGCGAACAUGAGUAAGAGCAUCUUACAUUUCCAUUACCAACUGUAACAAGGUUGCUAUUCUCCUUCAUUAGUUGCAAGCCAGGUUUUCCAUUACGUGCCUCAAUCUCCUGAAUAGAUUUUCGACCAUCAGCUUCUGGAACUCUCAACUCCUGAUGAGGUUUCCAAGUAUUUACAUUCGCAGAAAUCUUGACCAUCUUAUGAGAAGCACUUACCACCGCAACAGGCUGAUCCUGAUCUUUGUUCUGCGUUAAUUGCAUUUCAUAAUCAGCAUUUUUGGCUACAUUGUAAUGCAUCAUCAUAAAAUCACCCUUGCUUGCAUCAGAUGAUCCAGAUUGACAAACAUCUGUGACUCUAUGGCCCGUAACAUUGAUAUCAUCGUACCCUUCAUUGUCAGACAUAGAGUCAAAGGCCAAUGCCGGUUCAUUUUCUAACAUUGUCAUGUUCCCAUCAUGUUGUCUACUAUAGUCACAUCUAUCAUAAUAUGCUGAACCGGUUUGCUCCUGAAUUCGGCUAAAGCUUCCAUAUUCAUCAUCUUCAACAACAGCUUCUCCGAAUUCUGGUGGUUCGUCAGCCAUAUCUGAUACAUCCAUACCACGACCAAGUCGAUCAAACACACUUCCCCCAGAUUUAAUCCUUUUUACAUCUUCAGCAGCUUCUGCCACAGCUUUAAUGACAGUUGCCAAAGGAUUUGGAACUGUUGCAACUGACCGAAUCCUCCGAGGACGUUCAAUCGCUUCUGAUUCUCCAGUAGAUGUUGACACCACAGAACGAAGGCGCUUCAGUGAAGGUUCUUUUCCUGAAUUAGAUGGCCUUGUAGUUCCCACCGCAUCUCGAACUGCAAACUGAAGUAACCGUCGGGGAGCAUCAAUGGUUGAUUGACCCACUUCCCUCUGUCAUGAAGUUCAUUAAUGGAUUAGAAAGAAAUCAGCCUUGAUCAGAUGAAACUGUAUACCAAUGCUGUAAGAGUACAGCUAAAAUCCUCAAAAGAAGCUCAUAGCAUCAGAACAACCAAUAUGCCCUCAAAAAUUAUAAUAUUCAAGAAUUACAAUCUUACAAAGAUUUCUACUAUGAGAUAUCCAACAUCAUUAAAAUUAACCCCAAGCCACAUAACCAGCCACGAAGUCUGAAUCCAAAAUGAUAAUAUGUUUCUAUAAACAUUUCAGCAUCCACACAACAAAUAAAAAUAAAAGAAAAAUAUUAUAAAACUACAUCUUGCUUUGAAUUGAUUAUGUAGAGUAGAGACAAAAGUAACACAUUGGUUACUCUAACAUACAAAGUAGAGGAGAUCAAUUGAUCAACAGAAGGAACAGAAACAUCCAAACCUUUGAGUGCUGCCGCUCCUCAUGCCUGCUCCUUUUCUUUUGGAAUUUUUGUCGAGGAGGCGAAGGAGAGUCUCUGGCACGAGUGACUAUGCGAUGUGUUUUUUCCUCAAAAUGGGUAUUCUCAGCCUCAAAUCUCCGGAGAGGUGGGGGUGGUUCAUCCAAAUCCCUCACUAAUCCUUUCCAUUCCCUAUUGUGUCGACUCCUCGAUAAUUUAUUAGACUUUCCUCUUUCGGACUCUGAAUCCAGGAGGGAAGAAUCAAUCUUCCCAGCAUGGUCCCCCAAUGUAGGUUUUAUUUCUGAUGCUUCAUGCCUCUGAGAUUCCUCGGGCUGAACAUACAAAUUUAAAUUUGAGUCCAGAUGAUCCCAUAACCUGUUCAAAGUAAAUAUAUAAACCACUUUCAGAGACGAACAUGAAUUAAAAGAUAAUAGCUGACAAACUAAUUUCUAUAAGCUCAGGUUCUCCAAUUAAAUUAACAUAUAAAUCGAAUUACCAAGAUACGAAAGAAGUGCUGUCAUCCCCCAAAAACACAUUCAACUCAUUCCUUGCUUCCUCCUUGCGCCUGCCAUUUCUCAGUAAAACUAUAACGUAUUCCUGCCAAUGCGAAUCAAGAAAUAAGGGGGGAAAAAAUUCUAGCAUCGAUAAAAUCAAAAUACUUAAAUCCCCCAUAUUAAAGAAAUACUUCAAACCCAAGAUCUUCAUAUUUGAGAUAUGAAGGCAAUAUCAUGUGAUAAAUUGGCAUGACCCAACCAUGAAAGCGACUGAAAGCAUCGAAAAAUCACAAACACAUUAUACAUAUAGGGAACAGAGGAUAAACAUCAUUUAAUUAUAACUUAUCCUAGGAUGGUAGAAUGCGGGUAUCAAAGAUUCAUAUAACUUAUCCGCUCUCCAGGCUACUACAGCCCAACCAUCACUCCAAUAUUGUGCCAGCAAGAGAGAAAGCCCGAAUCUAACAACCCAAAAAGCAACAUAACACCUUCCGAGUAUGAAUCUUAACCUGCAAGCUAUCUGACUCAAAUGGAAAACAAUAACUAAAGACCAAAACAAGUAGAUUUUAUGAAACAAAAAUCCGUUAUAUGAACCUAUUUGAUAACGUACUCAAAUACUCCAGAAAAAAAUUUCAAAUAUCAGUGUUAACAGUCGCCACAUGAUUGAAAUACCUACACAAGUUCUGAUUCCCACCAAUAAAUUUAGGCGGAGAUUUAAACAUAUAGAGCUUUGAGGCUUUGCUAGGAUUUAACUUCAAAUUCAUUCUUCAUCACCCCAUUCCCACAAGGUCACAGCAUUUUCCAUACACUCAAGAACAAAUAGGCAAAUACUCAGCAACCAAUAUCAAAGAACAGCAAUGUCAUCUCAUUCUCCACAGCCAACAGCUGCCAUUUAAAACCUCAAACCUUACAAAUGACUGAAACUGAAAAAACUCGUGGAACCUGAAAAGCAGGUAACACAAACAUUCCCUCUACCGACAGGACUAUCAACUUCACUAUUUCAACCUUAUGCACUCAAUUCAAAUUCAACAGCAGAACUUCCAGUUCUUGGAAAACCCCGUGAGUCUCCAAAUUUCAAAAUUUCUAGAAAAUAUCAUCCGGAUGAAUCUAACCCCAGUAAUACAAAUAAUACCCUAAAAAUUUAUUUUCUAGACAAGAAAUUAAUUGCAAGCGAUAUAGAAAUACACAAUGCAACAAUUCAAUCGAUUUCAACAACAUCAAUAUAAUUCGACAAAAAAUAAAAACGAACCACGAGUGUAUCGUCAGUGUAAUCGCCCAUAAAUUCUUUGAGUUUAUCUUUGACUCCGUCUCUCAACUUCGCCACUCCAUCGGCGCUGAAAUUAACCUUAAAUGUCCGAUCAUCCACGCUUCCCAUUGUUUUCCUUUUUUUUCGGUGUUUCAAAACCCUAACUAAUUGAAACUCAAACUAACAAACAGACACCAUAAGAGAUGAUUGCAUAAUAAUGAUUGGUAUAUUCGCUUCACAAAUGGUCGAUCCUCGGCAAAAACCCUAAUUGCAAAUUCUGAAUGCGAGUGAGAGUGUUCGGACGCCUAGUGCCUUGACGGAAACAAAUCGUCGAUUAACAACAGUUCGGGCUUCGUUUAGUUGGUUGGGUUUUUUUUUUUUUUCAAUUUUUUUUUUCGGGUUCCAUGGAAAAAUAAAAGCCCCAGGAUUUUGUUUGUCCGCGGGGGAAGUAUAGGCUACGAGAGGGGGAUUUGGAUUUUGAGCUUUAUUUUAUUUGUGCAUUUAUUAUGAACCGACUUGAAACUUAAAUGGCUUUCCUGACUUCUUUGCAUUUUUCGUUUUUCAAUAAUUACCCUAGUCACAGAUUUUUAUUUAGCUAUAUAUAUAUAUAUAUAUAUAUUGGGAGUUUUAACGGCAUAAUGUUUUUCUUAAUAAAUAUGCUUUUGUGGGUUUUUAAUACAAAAUAUUCUCUUAUUUAAUUAAUUAGAUUAAAAUCAACAGCAAACCUUGAGUUGGAUUUUUGAAUUUUAGAUAAAUAUAAAGUAGAUUAUACCGAAUAUUGUGCUAUAGAUAAUAUUUUAUUUUAAAUUUAAAAAAUAAUUAGGUGGGAUUAGAGAGUAUUAGUUGAGAAGUAAUGUUAGGUAGUCCAACAUUAAGUUUGUAAUUUAAAUCUUAACUUAUGUGCUAUUCAUCUAUUAAAUACUAGUUAAGUAAAUUUAUAUUAUGAAAUUCAUUAUUAGUGACACAUAAUAUUAGAAUUUAAGUUAUGACUCAAAUAUAUACUGUUAACUAGGAGUUUAAAAAAAUAUAAUACAUAAAAAUGUAAUAUUUUUCAAUUGAUAUGAUGCCUAUGAUUCAUAAAUAUUAUUUAGAAAAAUAAGGUUGGCGAUCAGUACGAGGCAUGGUAGCAUAUUUAUCUACAAUGCAGAGAUAAGUUGAUAACACUACAAUAAAC